GAGUUUGAUCCUGGCUCAGGACGAACGCUGGCGGCGUGCCUAAUACAUGCAAGUUGAGCGAUGAAGAUUGGUGCUUGCACCAAUUUGAAGAGCAGCGAACGGGUGAGUAACGCGUGGGGAAUCUGCCUUUGAGCGGGGGACAACAUUUGGAAACGAAUGCUAAUACCGCAUAAUAACUUUAAACAUAAGUUUUAAGUUUGAAAGAUGCAAUUGCAUCACUCAAAGAUGAUCCCGCGUUGUAUUAGCUAGUUGGUGAGGUAAAGGCUCACCAAGGCGAUGAUACAUAGCCGACCUGAGAGGGUGAUCGGCCACA
This 313-nucleotide ribosomal RNA is filed under the name uncultured bacterium. RNAcentral describes it as "bacterial SSU rRNA". It matches the Rfam family "Bacterial small subunit ribosomal RNA", at positions 9 to 312 of the family's 1533-position model. The record is from RNAcentral.